GACGAACGCUGGCGGCGUGCCUAAUACAUGCGAGUCGAACGCUGAAGGAGGAGCUUGCUCUUCUGGAUGAGUUGCGAACGGGUGAGUAACGCGUAGGUAACCUGCCUGGUAGCGGGGGAUAACUAUUGGAAACGAUAGCUAAUACCGCAUAAAAUUGAUUAUUGCAUGAUAGUCAAUUAAAAGGUGCAAUUGCAUCACUACCAGAUGGACCUGCGUUGUAUUAGCUAGUUGGUGUGGUAACGGCUCACCAAGGCAACGAUACAUAGCCGACCUGAGAGGGUGAUCGGCCACACUGGGACUGAGACACGGCCCAGACGCCUACGGGAGGCAGCAGGAGGGAAUCUUCGGCAAGGGACGGAAGUCUGACCGAGCAACGCCGCGUGAGUGAAGAAGGGUGUCGGAUCGUAAAGCUCGGUUGUAAGAGAAGAACGAGUGUGAGAGUGGAAAGUUCACACUGUGACGGUAUCUUACCAGAAAGGGACGGCUAACUACGUG
This 495-nucleotide ribosomal RNA is filed under the name uncultured bacterium. RNAcentral describes it as "partial 16S ribosomal RNA". It matches the Rfam family "Bacterial small subunit ribosomal RNA", at positions 28 to 507 of the family's 1533-position model. The record is from RNAcentral.